This 434-nucleotide ribosomal RNA is filed under the name uncultured bacterium. RNAcentral describes it as "partial 16S ribosomal RNA". It matches the Rfam family "Bacterial small subunit ribosomal RNA", at positions 29 to 506 of the family's 1533-position model. The record is from RNAcentral.
AGCGAACGCUGGCGGCAGGCUUAACACAUGCAAGUCGAGCGGGCAUAGCAAUAUGUCGGCGGCAGACGGGUGAGGAACGCGUGGGAACGUACCUUUUGGUUCGGAACAACUGAGGGAAACUUCAGCUAAUACCGGCUAAGCCCUUACGGGGAAAGAUUUAUCGCCGAAAGAUCGGCCCGCGUCUGAUUAGCUUGUUGGUGAGGUAAUGGCUCACCAAGGCGGCGAUCAGUAGCUGGUAUGAGAGGAUGAUCAGCCACAUUGGGACUGAGACACGGCCCAAACUCUUACGGGAGGCAGCAGGGGGGAAUAUGGGACAACGGGCGCAAGCCUGAGGCAGCCAGGCCGUGAGAGUGAUGAAGGACCUAGGGUUGUAAAGCUCUUUUGUGCGGGAAGAUAAUGACGGUACCGCAAGAAUAAGCACCGGCUACCUUCGU